CAUGAUUUGAUAAAUGGGAUUGUGAAAGUCCUGUUUUGAUAAGGUUUUGGUAAAUAGGUCGAGUGACCGGAGUAUAGAAGAGAACAUAGUAGAUGAUGGUGAUAACACAAUUCGCUUGGAUUAAAGUUUAGAUUGGCAUUGUUUUAUUGUGGUGUGUGUUAGCAAAACGAAGAAGAUUGACAUCUUGCUUUAAUGAAGGAUUUUGAUAAUGAUGUUUCAUGGAGAAAUGUUGAAGAAUUAAAGAAGUACU
This 250-nucleotide long non-coding RNA is filed under the name Vigna radiata. RNAcentral's name for it is "long non-coding RNA (VRAD_LNC014406)". Lineage: Eukaryota; Viridiplantae; Streptophyta; Magnoliopsida; Fabales; Fabaceae. The record is from RNAcentral.